GACGAACGCUGGCGGCGUGCUUAACACAUGCAAGUCGAACGAAGAGCGAUGGAAGCUUGCUUCUAUCAAUCUUAGUGGCGAACGGGUGAGUAACGCGUAAUCAACCUGCCCUUCAGAGGGGGACAACAGUUGGAAACGACUGCUAAUACCGCAUACGAUCUAAUCAUGGCAUCGAGGAUAGAUUAUAGGUGGCCUCUACAUGUAAGCUAUCACUUCAGGAGGGGAUUGCGUCUGAUUAGCUCGUUGGAGGGGUAAAGUACCAACAAGGCGAUGAUCAGUAGCCGGUCUGAGAGGAUGAACGGCCGCAUUGGGACUGAGACACGGCCCAGACUCCUACGGGAGGCAGCAGUGGGGAAUCGUCCGCAAUGGACGAAAGUCUGACGGAGCAACGCCGCGUGAGUGAUGACGGCCUUCGGGUUGUAAAGCUCUGUUAAUCGGGACGAAAGGCCUUCUUGCGAAUAGUGAGAAGGAUUGACGGUACCGGAAUAGAAAGCCACGGCUAACUACGUG
Molecule: ribosomal RNA, 510 nt
Filed under: uncultured bacterium
Lineage: Bacteria
Description: partial 16S ribosomal RNA
Rfam family: Bacterial small subunit ribosomal RNA
Source: RNAcentral